This is a non-coding RNA of Phascolarctos cinereus (koala), 453 nucleotides long. The record is from RefSeq and is a predicted model, not a curated record. Lineage: Eukaryota; Metazoa; Chordata; Mammalia; Diprotodontia; Phascolarctidae.
GAAGUGGGAGUAAGUAGAACUUGGUUCUGGUCUCAGCUCUUUGGCCAUCUUGCUCUACAAUCCUAGGUGAGCAAACUGAGACCCAGAAAAGUCAAGUAAUGUGCCUGGGAUCACAUGAGAAGAACCAAGCUUUUUUCAUGGUUCAAACACUUUAGAGUUUUUUUCUGGAUGACUGAAACUACUGACAGAAGAUUCGGGAUACAAAGGAACCACAAUGACAUGGGAGUUUCAUCCUGUGUAAAAUAAGGGGACUGGCAGCAAAUUAGUGAAAUCAAAACCAGCCUCUAUCACAAGGGUUGUCGGAAGACACACUUCUACACUGUUGAUGGAGCCACGAAUUGACCUAAAAACAACUUGGAAGGAUAGAGUGACAACUCUUCACAUGUCUUGGUUCCCCUACUGGGUGUAUUCCUGAGGACAGAAAAUCAGGAAGAACAGCCCAGAACUCAGGUA